This 29-nucleotide non-coding RNA is filed under the name Mus musculus (house mouse). The record is from RNAcentral. Lineage: Eukaryota; Metazoa; Chordata; Mammalia; Rodentia; Muridae.
UGCUCGUGUUGCCCAAGUAUUUUAUGCCU